AGUACUAGAGGCUCUCCCUCUCGCCUCUCCAAAAUAUUUUAGCCUAUCAGACAAGUUCUUGAGAGAACUCAGACAAGUUCUUUCGUUUAGUACGAGUACAUCACAGAAGCAUCAAUGGAGGUCAACGUGAGCUUUUCAAAUGACAUGGAUGAUGAAUAUGAGAAACUCUUUAGGAGAUUGAAUCCACCCAGGGUUGUGAUUGAUAAUGAAGCUUGCAAGAAUGCUAUUGUCAUAAGGGUUGAUAGUGCUAACAAACAUGGAAUACUUCUUGAAGUUGA
Molecule: long non-coding RNA, 278 nt
Organism: Populus trichocarpa (black cottonwood)
Lineage: Eukaryota; Viridiplantae; Streptophyta; Magnoliopsida; Malpighiales; Salicaceae
Exons: 4
Source: RefSeq, a predicted model, not a curated record